AUUGAACGCUGGCGGCAGGCCUAACACAUGCAAGUCGAACGAGUGGCGGACGGGUGAGUAAUGUCUGGGAAACUGCCUGAUGGAGGGGGAUAACUACUGGAAACGGUAGCUAAUACCGCAUACCAUCGGAUGUGCCCAGAUGGGAUUAGCUAGUUGGUGGGGUAAAGGCUCACCAAGGCAACGAUCCCUAGCUGGUUUGAGAGGAUGACCAGCCACACUGGGACGGAGACACGGCCCAGACUCCUACGGGAGGCAGCAGUGGGGAAUAUUGGACAAUGGGCGCAAGCCUGAUCCAGCCAUGCCGCGUGUAUGAAGAAGGCCUUCGGGUUGUAAAGUACUUUUGGCAGAGAAGCGGUAUCCGCAGAAGAAGCACCGGCUAACUACGUGCCAGCAGCCGCGGUAAUUC
Molecule: ribosomal RNA, 406 nt
Filed under: uncultured bacterium
Lineage: Bacteria
Description: partial 16S ribosomal RNA
Rfam family: Bacterial small subunit ribosomal RNA
Source: RNAcentral